CCGAAGCUCGUCUCAGGCAGAAGGAGGAGAAGCUCGAAAAGCUAAGGGCAAAAUAUCAGGAAGCGAUGAAGAACGAAGUUGCUGCUGCUCAUAAGGUCGCUGAGGAGAAGAGAGCCAUGGUAGCAGCCAAGAAGGGUAUGGACAUUCUCAAGACUGAAGAGACUGCGGCCAAGAUCAGGGCGACAGGAAAAUUCCCUGUAAAAUUCGGAUGUUUUGCUGCGUAAAAUUUCUUCGUGGCUUCUCUCUUCACACCUAAAUUUUUGUCUUUUUCCAAUCGAUGGUGGGUACCCAGUAAUAGGAGCCCAUUUUGGAAGAAGUCACCAGCGAGCGCUACGUCACGAGACAUAAUAUCUUUUCAUUGACGACAAGGAGAAUACAGAGCCUUGAUGUAAUUGUAAACUAGUAUGUUAAAACAUUUAGUGCGGUCUAGUGUAGGGUUGGGGUUAACCAUUUGCUUCCGUUUACCUCUUAGCGUAUGAAAUUCUUAAGUAUGGUCGUCAUUCUCGCAUGAUCUCAUGAUCAAGCGACUUCGUGGGUCUCUUUGUUGUAAAGAGUGAGUGUCGGCGUUACAGAUGUAAAACAACUUCGUGCAAAUCAAUAAACAAUUCGACCAGGUAUUUCUUUUGUAGAAACACUACCUACAUCAUGAACCCAAUAUGACGAAUUGGUUCACGAGCCGUUGCUUCACAUGUUUCUAGAGUCUGCGCACGAGCUCUUACCAAAAAAAUGUUUCUAUGGUUUCCUCUGUUUCUGAAUGUUGUGCACCAUCUGAGUCGUUAGACUAAUAUGUAAGUUGUACACGUACUUGAUCUAUUCUUGGUAACACGAAGACCAUUGAAGAUAAUUCACUGUGCAUCGGGCAAAUAUUUUCACGAAUUGUUAAUUCCAAACUAUGAGUACAAUGCUCUUGACAGCAUUGUUUCAGAAUAAACACACCGUGAGUAUUUUGAAACAUUCUGAGUGUAAUGCUCUUACCAGCAUCUGAAAGGCGCAAAUACAACAAAUAAUUCAUUCUGCAGGAACAGAUGUCUGCAAACCGUUUUGAUAAACAUUGAACACUGAACACAACGGGCCCUGAAGUUAUGCUUUUUUCGGAUGAAGCUUGUGUGCAAGUUGUAAUAAGCAUGUGCUCACUGAUCAUUUUACGGUCAGGGAAAAUAUACUGAAGUUGCGCUGUACGAGGGCUUAAAAUUGAGAACGCAUUCACAACAGCUGAGCGUUUUCACUCAAAGCUGCUGUAUCUCUUACAACUUAAGGAAAUUCAUUCGCACAAUAUAUCUUGGAUGUUCUGGCGAUCUACAAAUCUGAUAUAGUCUGUCUCUUAACUUGAGAGAGGUUAAUGUAAUUGCUUCAAGCAUCUGGCAUUCAUUAUGAAACAUUUACAAAUUGCAUAGAUAUAACGCUGGUGAUUAUUUCAUGAUUAUAUGACGCAGUCUUGAUUGGAUUGAAGAUUAACAGAUACUCUAAACGGAAGUAAGGCCAUGACAGUUGAAACUCUAGCUACCUAAAAUUUGCUGGAUAUUGUAUCCCGUGAAUUCUACGCUACAAAUCAUUUUUGCCACGUUGGAAAAAUUAUGGGACAAUCCGUCUCGGCUGACUUGCAUCGAAAUUUGAAAGAAAAGACUCAAAAGUCUCCUUCACACAAUUUCAUAGUGACUCAGAAAGCUCUGCUGUCGAUUACCAAAAUUUGUAUUAAUUACCUUCGUUACACACAGUAGUUCGCUGUACUUUUACUAUGGCGAAGGUAACAUGAAUUCCUCAUAAACAGCCGAAGCAACUGUUUUUGCAACAGAAUAAUCAGGGGACAUGGCAGCAGUUUGUACAUAAAUUCACGAAAGAUCUCAAAAAGCUCAAUUAAGCUUCUAAAGAAAACUGAUGCUAACGAAGGUCGCGAUCCAAGUGAGUGCUGAUGUUGCGGUAGUCGCAGCUUGAACGAAAGCUGAUCCUGGUCUUUGAUAUGUUACAGAUGUCGAGUUCUUCAGUUAGUUUGACGCACUUUCAACCUAUGAAGCGAUAAAUAUAUCAAACAGCACAUGGUGGUCUCGCUUCAAAGGUAAGGUUGAUUUAAUAAUGUACUUUCACUCAUGCGAAGAAAGCUGUCUGCUCUUCCUCAUUGAGUCAGGUUUUUCACUCUAACGACGGAACUCGUGUGACCUCCACCCCUGGCCCCGCUCCACAUAACACCUUGGCUGUGUUUGGGAGUUCUCUUUGUCGAUAAAAGAUCUCCACUGCAAAGCGACGUAGUCAUCACCAUUGUUGCUUCGAACACCACCACUCCGAUCAGCACAGCAACGAAUCCCAACAUUUUCGACGAUUGAGAUCUGCAAAUGUGGUUAAGCUUCUUGCACUCCAGCCGUAUAAAAGAAUCCUAAUAAGGCGAAAACCUUGCAACCUAAGGGCUGUUCAACUUGUGCAAUGCCGUGCUUGGCGGAGUUUCACUUAUGGCUGUUAAGCACGCCUCAAGAUGCUCACUCUCUCCACCGAUGUGACAGUCAGUUAACAUGAAGCCAGCAACAACCUAAAGAUGCCUCUCAACUCUAAAGUAAGAAUCAGUUCGCGGAAACGAAUCGCGCCGCAGAAUUCUUGUAACCAUGCAUUUGCAAUAUAGCCACCAGGAAAAAUUCACAGCAUGCGUUGCCUAGCUCUAGUGCAAUUCAACUCACUGCUCUAUCACUUCUCCUUAAAACUAAACAUUCAAUCUCUCAGUCUCACUCGCUAGACAUGAAGCUCAACCUCCACCUCUAAAUAUCACGCACUGAAACAAUGUAUGCUACUCCCGAAUUGCAGUCCACUUGAAUACUGUAGUCGGCAAUGAAUUGUCGCACAAUAUUCAGCCCACAAUUGAGUCAAUUGUUACGUGGCCUUCGAACUGUCCAUUGGAUAUCUGCAAAUGUCUGCAGCAUUGCCUAUUAUACCAUGGAUUUCGUGACCUUACGAGGAAGCAUCUCAACACCGAGCCCAAAU
This 2964-nucleotide long non-coding RNA is filed under the name Physcomitrium patens. Its description in RNAcentral is "long non-coding RNA (PPAT_LNC007059)". Lineage: Eukaryota; Viridiplantae; Streptophyta; Bryopsida; Funariales; Funariaceae. The record is from RNAcentral.